AGUGAACGCUGGCGGUAGGCCUAACACAUGCAAGUCGAACGGCAGCACAGUAAGAGCUUGCUAUUACGGGUGGCGAGUGGCGGACGGGUGAGGAAUACAUCGGAAUCUACUUUUUCGUGGGGGAUAACGUAGGGAAACUUACGCUAAUACCGCAUACGACCUACGGGUGAAAGCAGGGGAUCUUCGGACCUUGCGCGAUUGAAUGAGCCGAUGUCGGAUUAGCUAGUUGGCGGGGUAAAGGCCCACCAAGGCGACGAUCCGUAGCUGGUCUGAGAGGAUGAUCAGCCACACUGGAACUGAGACAAGGUCCAGACUCCUACGGGAGGCAGCCGUGGGGAGUGUUAGACCAUGGGCGCAAGCCUGAUCCAGCCAUACCGCGUGGGUAAAGAAGGCUUUCGGGUUGUAUAGCCCUUUUGUAGGGAAAGAAAAGCAGCAGGUUAAUACCCCGCUGUUCUGACGGUACCCAAAGAAUAAGCACCGGCUAACUUCGUG
This 492-nucleotide ribosomal RNA is filed under the name uncultured bacterium. Its description in RNAcentral is "partial 16S ribosomal RNA". It matches the Rfam family "Bacterial small subunit ribosomal RNA", at positions 29 to 507 of the family's 1533-position model. The record is from RNAcentral.